CUACCACCGCCUCAAGUCGGUGUUCCGGCCGGAGCGAUCCGGACGGAGUGAAAAGGGAAUCCGGUGCGGCGCACGCGCGCCAAUGCCGGAGCUGCCUCCGCAACUGUAAGCGGCGAGCGCGCGGUCACCAGGCCACUGGGGAAAACCCGGGAAGGCGACCGCCCACGCGACGACCCGCGAGCCAGGAGACCUGCCGGCGACGUCGCGCAUUGC
This 213-nucleotide non-coding RNA is filed under the name uncultured Alphaproteobacteria bacterium. Lineage: Bacteria; Pseudomonadati; Pseudomonadota; Alphaproteobacteria. The record is from RNAcentral.